UGAUUCUGAUUCAGCAACUUGCUUCUGUUGUUGCAUGAUGAGGCGUGGCAUGUUCUUCAGAUACUCUCUGAGACUCUCUGUGAUCCCUCCAAGACCAAUGGAGGUAAAGAAGUUGAUUGCAAACCUAGUGUUCUUUGGAUUAUCUUUAGGGAAGAUGGAUUCAAGUGACUCCUGCAUUGUUGGAUCCUGAAGCCUCUCAUUAAGCAGCCUUAUCCCCAAGUGCUCUGACAAUUCCUGCAAUCAAUACAAAGGUUAUAACCAAAUCAAAAGAACAGUCCUGAAAAUGGUAAAAUGAGUUUCUUAGAAAAGUGUAUUCGAUUCAAGUUACCUGGAAAAGGAUCUUAAUGAAAAUACGAGAGGAUGAAGUAGUGUCCUCCUCGGUUAACCGAAUGUAGGCAAGCACAUGCCAUGGAAGAGCAUCUGUCCCCAGUAAAUGAGCAAAAAACUUAGCAACGUUACGCAGCUUGUUCGUCUCAAGACGGUGAAUCAUAGAGUACUGCUGAACAAAACACUUCUCGAAAUUCUCUUGGUGAAUCUUGUUGAUCAUACAGAAACGCUGACCCAACAAACCGUAGUAGCGCAGAUACGUUCUCUCCUGAGAGCAACACUCCAGAAGCAUUAUGCACAGUUCCAUCUGCAACAUUUGAAUUAGACAAAUAAUGUUUAUAAGCCUUGUGUACUUCCAGAAAAUGUAUAAUCUAGUUUGAGAGGAGUUAGUUACCUCUUGACCUGGUUCGAGUUUAAUUUUAAGCAACUUGUGACCAGCUUCCUCAAAAUCGACGCUGGACAUUAUGGUCAGGUAUAUUGUCCUCCUAAGAUUAACAAGAUUAGUCUCUGUCUCGUCUCUUAUCCUCAUUUGUUCUUCAUCUUCUUCUUCACCAGACUCAUAUUCCUCCUCAUCAUUGUCCUCUGAGCUAGCAUCAGAGCCGUCUUCAUCGUCUGACUCAUCCUCACCAAGUAACUCCUUCUUAAGCGCCUCAUACUUCUUCUCGUUCUUAAUGAAGUCAGGAUCAGGUUUGAAAACAUCUGCAAAAAACAGAAACAUCAGAGAAAAUUUUAAAACUAAGAGCUGUUUAAGUUUUUUACUAAUACUAAAAAAGUAACUUACUCAGAGAGGUAUCAGGAUCUAUUUCAUCAUUAAGAGAUACAUCAUGCGAAUAUUUAUCUUCAACAAGAUCUAGCUCAGGACGAACAGCUGGAUGUCCCUGAAAGUAUAAAGUAUGAGCAUUAUGCUUAUCUGCUUCAACCCAUAAUAUCAGAAUAUAAUUAAAUAAAGUUAUGUCUUAAAGUAUAUUUACCUGAAACUUCGCUUUCCUAAUAGCAAAGAGCCCUUCAAUCAAAUACUGAACUCUCUUAUCAAUAUCUCCCUCGUGCAGUAUACCACGAAACCUUUCAAAAAUUCCUGUAUUAACAAUUGCAAGGGAGCUUAGAAACGCAAAUAAAAGGAAGAUCAGUGGCAAUAUAGAACUGUUUAAUGCAUGAAGUGAAUCGCUUAGAUACAGAAUCAUAUCACAACGUUAUCUUUGACCAAGAGAUGAACCUUAUUAUAUCAGCACAUGUCAUUAAUCAUUGACUUGUGAUUUAAUUUUAUGGAUUACGUGGAGAUGCAAGCAGGCUAAUGUUUCUCACUAUGACAAACCAGAUCUCUCACCAACACAGCAGAAAGAACGAUUAAAACUUUGAAAGGAUACUUACCAUGCAAUCCUUUUGGUGUAACGUCCUGGAGCAUGGCACCACACUCUGUCACGAAUCCAACAGCCACCUCCACACUGUCAUCAGUAGGGGUUUCUAAAAGUACAGAGACUAGCUCAAGGGCAAUGAUCUCCUCAGCGACUUGCUGGUUUACUAGAUGUGCUAUAAAUUUCACCGCAGCUAGCAGUUGAGGCUGGCAAAACAAAAAUGAAACACAUAAAUGCAUAAACAUGACACAUAUAAAAUCAAAAUGACUUUCAAGCAAAAAAGACAAACCUUGUCGUUACGCUUAUAAGCUCUCUUUAGCUGCAAAACGACUCUUUUCAACAAAAGCUCAGCAACUUCGGGGAACUUGGCGUUGAUAACAGCGACCAAAGCUGCAAAGACAUCGGUAAACCCAGGAGACGCCAUCUGAGACUUCAUACACGAACGGCAGUGAUGAGAUUCUCAGCAAACAACUCAGGUAUAAUGUUCUUGAUGUUGCUUGCGUUAACCUUAUUCACCAGCCCGUUGAUACUUUUACGGAGAGCGUCCCACGUAAGACGCUGAUACUCUACGCUGCUCUUGUCCUCCACCUCCUUCAUCAUCCGUGCUAGCUUGAACGGAGGGAUAUAAACUCCACCAGUUUUUCCCAAAGCUAUAGCGUUGCUAUCAGAUGAGUUGAGUUCUGGUAACUUGGGCUUCGCAACUUCACUCUUCUCUUCUUUUCUCAGCUUGUCUCUUUGACUAUCAGACCUUCUUGUUUCCUCUCGCUUUCUCUCCUACUCUUUUGCCUAUCAUGAGAAGGCUUAUCAGCUGUGACUCUAGUACUACUACCCCUAUGACCUCUCUCUCUAUCACUUCUUCUCACUCUCUCGUCUUCCUCGGAGGAACCAUCGUGCCUACCCAUAUGGAUGGAAUCCAACAUAAAGUAAGAACCUUUACCGAUUAUAUCAGGAAACCCUAGCUUAUUUAUCUAACGAUAUAAAUCUCUAGUAAGAAAAACACUACUGAGGUUGUCGCGACGAUCUGAAUCGCCGACCAAAAGUGAUAGACGGGGGAAAUAAGAUAUGUUUUCGGUUUGGUUUUUGUCGGAAGAGGUACGCCGACGGCACGGUUUCCUUUUAUGGAUUCUCGAAACGGCACUGUGUGUGUAUAUCAAUCUUUAUUUGGGUGGUGUCGGGUUAUGAAAUAUAAGGCUAAGACCAUGCGCAUUGAGGUAUCAUGCGGGGUUCACGGGCUCGAGUUCAUAGGCCCAAUUGAUUAAAAACACAUAAAAAAAGGGUUUGUUUCGCCGAACCGGGCCUUACGGUUGAACUCGUAAGGGGCGGGUUCACGCCACGUGUCCUCCUCUCAGUGGCUUCUCCUUUCCGCGUUGGCGAGAGAGAAAGAAGGGUCUCGGCGUCUUGAUUCAUUUCUCUCAUCUCCGUAAAAGCUAGGGUUUUUUUCUCUCUGAGGCGAUUCUCUGUGCGACCUCCAUCUCCGGCGGUAUUCUCCAGCAAAUCCACUCUGGUUUCUCUUCUCCACCUCUUAGGUGAGUAUUGAGUUGAACGGUAGAAUUCUCCACCUCCUCUCCAUCUUUUUGUGUUUCGGUUUUAAAUCGAUUUGGGGAUUUUUUGUUUGAGGGUUUCAAAAUCGAUAGAGGGUUUUCGAUUAAUUGAUGUAAAUCGGCAUGCUCGUUUCAUUAGGGUUAGUUUCUGUGAAAUUUCAAAUCGAUAGAGGGGUUUAGAGGUUAUAUUCACUUCAGUUAGUAACUAAGUAGUGGCUCGUAGUAAUGACCAAAGCGUAAACUCGUUGGUUCUUGGUUAGAUUUCUAGUCGGAAUAGAGUCGUUGUUACCUUGGCCAUACGAUUGGAACAUGUCUUUCUCAUCUUCUUUGUUUCUUACAUGUAAUUGGAACUCGAUUGUUGCAGAUGGAAACUCCCCGAGAACCUCAUUUCUUCAAGCCUCUUCUUCCUGGUUUUCACAGUGGCGUGGCAAUACCACUUGACUUCUACUCAAAACACAUACAAGGGGCUGAGAUCAAUAAACCAUGGAAGCUAAGAUCGGACGCUUCGGAUCAAAUUUGGGAGGUGAUCCGAGAAGGCAGGACACUCACCAAAGGUUGGAAAGAGUUCACCGAAGCACAUGAUCUUCGAAUCGGUGACAUUGUCAUCUUCAAACACGAAGGAGACAUGGUCUUUCAUGUGACUCCUUUUGGUCCUAGCUGUUGUGAGAUUCUGUGGUCCGACGCGGAUGAUGCUCCUACUUUCUCAUACGACUACUGCUUCUUGGCUGAGGUUACUCCUACAAAUCAAAAGGACGACAAAAUGGUGAGUAAAAUUUAGUUAUUUAUUGUGUGAUUCUAGUACUGCUUCUUGGCUGAUGUUAUGUAUGUGUUUGUAGUUUCUUCCUGUGGAAGCUAUGAGGUGUGGUGCUUUGAACCAACAAUGCAAAGAGGUCAAACUUGUCAACAAGGAGGGAAAGUCAUGGACUGCGCGCUUCGGAUUUAGCGAAUCAGACGGCGCAUAUUACAUCAGCAGAGGGUGGAGAAAGUUCUGUCGUGAUAACAGAUGCACCAACGGAGAUUUGUUUGUGUUCAACGUGGUUGGAGACGGGACGACAACUCCAUUACUGUGUGUAUGUCCGGAAAGGAAGGAGUGUACUGAACUACUGAUCAAGCACUUCAGCAGAAUCGAUGGUAAGUCUUCUCAUUUGACUUGUUUGUGUUGUCUAUAUCUUCAAUGUUACUACUUUGCUUCUGCUUUAACUUGUGUUCUCUUCUUCUACAGGUAGCAUUGCUUCUACCUCACGAAAUUAGAUGGCUCUUUUGCGGUCUUUCCUCUCUAUCAUCUUAACUUGUUUCUUUUUGUUUCAUUAGCAACUUAUCAACUUAUGUAUUUCGGUUUGUAAAACUUGAAUGGUUUUUCUAUGUGAACUUUUAUCCUAAGUUAAACAUUCUCGAACUUAAUUCCUUUGUUGAAUGCGUAGACUGAUCAUCGAACAAAAUGUUUCUAUGAAUUGAAUUUAAGUUAAGAAACAACAUAAACUCUCUGUGAUCCCUCCAAGACCAAUGGAGGUAAAGAAGUUGAUUGCAAACCUAGUGUUCUUUGGAUUAUCUUUAGGGAAGAUGGAUUCAAGUGACUCCUGCAUUGUUGGAUCCUGAAGCCUCUCAUUAAGCAGCCUUAUCCCCAAGUGCUC
Molecule: long non-coding RNA, 4851 nt
Filed under: Brassica napus (rape)
Lineage: Eukaryota; Viridiplantae; Streptophyta; Magnoliopsida; Brassicales; Brassicaceae
Description: long non-coding RNA (BNAP_LNC006158)
Source: RNAcentral